This 253-nucleotide ribosomal RNA is filed under the name uncultured bacterium. Its description in RNAcentral is "partial 16S ribosomal RNA". It matches the Rfam family "Bacterial small subunit ribosomal RNA", at positions 524 to 776 of the family's 1533-position model. The record is from RNAcentral.
UACGUAGGGUGCAAGCGUUAUCCGGAAUUAUUGGGCGUAAAGAGCUCGUAGGCGGUUUGUCGCGUCUGCUGUGAAAACUGGAGGCUCAACCUCCAGCCUGCAGUGGGUACGGGCAGACUAGAGUGCGGUAGGGGAGAUUGGAAUUCCCGGUGUAGCGGUGAAAUGCGCAGAUAUCGGGAAGAACACCCGUGGCGAAGGCGGCUCUCUGGGACGGUACUGACGCUGAGACGCGAAAGCGUGGGGAGCGAACAGG